AACGAACGCUGGCGGCAUGCCUAACACAUGCAAGUCGAACGAAGGCUUCGGCCUUAGUGGCGCACGAGUGAGUAACGCGUGGGAAACUGCCUAGUGGUGGGAAUAACGACGGGAAACUGUCGCUAAUACCGCAUAAGCCCUUCGGGGGAAAGAUUUAUCGCCGAUAGAUGUGCCCGCGUCCGAUUAGCUAGUUGGUGAGGUAAUGGCUCACCAAGGCGACGAUCGGUAGCUGGUCUGAGGGGAUGAUCAGCCACACUGGGACUGAGACACGGCCCAGACUCCUACGGGAGGCAGCAGUGGGGAAUAUUGGACAAUGGGCGAAAGCCUGAUCCAGCAAUGCCGCGUGAGUGAUGAAGGCCUUAGGGUUGUAAAGCUCUUUCGGGUGGGACGAUGAUGACGGUACCACCAGAAGAAGCCCCGGCUAACUUCGUGCCAGCCGCCGCGGUAA
This 448-nucleotide ribosomal RNA is filed under the name uncultured bacterium. Its description in RNAcentral is "partial 16S ribosomal RNA". It matches the Rfam family "Bacterial small subunit ribosomal RNA", at positions 29 to 523 of the family's 1533-position model. The record is from RNAcentral.